This 462-nucleotide ribosomal RNA is filed under the name uncultured bacterium. RNAcentral describes it as "partial 16S ribosomal RNA". It matches the Rfam family "Bacterial small subunit ribosomal RNA", at positions 28 to 507 of the family's 1533-position model. The record is from RNAcentral.
GACGAACGCCGGCGGCGUGCUUAACACAUGCAAGUCGAGCGGAAAGGCCCUUCGGGGUCCUCGAGCGGCGAACGGGUGAGUAACACGUGAGUAACCUGCCCCAGACUUUGGGAUAACCCUCGGAAACGGGGGCUAAUACCGGAUACGACACAGCUUCGCAUGGGGUCUGUGUGGAAAGUUUUUCGGUUUGGGAUGGGCUCGCGGCCUAUCAGCUUGUUGGUGGGGUGAUGGCCUACCAAGGCGACGACGGGUAGCCGGCCUGAGAGGGCGACCGGCCACACUGGGACUGAGACACGGCCCAGACUCCUACGGGAGGCAGCAGUGGGGAAUAUUGCACAAUGGGCGGAAGCCUGAUGCAGCGACGCCGCGUGAGGGAUGACGGCCUUCGGGUUGUAAACCUCUUUCAGCAGGGACGAAGCGUAAGUGACGGUACCUGCAGAAGAAGCGCCGGCCAACUACGUG